UAGGGAAUCUUCCACAAUGGACGCAAGUCUGAUGGAGCAACGCCGCGUGAGUGAAGAAGGUUUUCGGAUCGUAAAGCUCUGUUGUUGGUGAAGAAGGAUAGAGGCAGUAACUGGUCUUUAUUUGACGGUAAUCAACCAGAAAGUCACGGCUAACUACGUGCCAGCAGCCGCGGUAAUACGUAGGUGGCAAGCGUUGUCCGGAUUUAUUGGGCGUAAAGCGAGCGCAGGCGGAAUGAUAAGUCUGAUGUGAAAGCCCACGGCUCAACCGUGGAACUGCAUCGGAAACUGUCAUUCUUGAGUGCAGAAGAGGAGAGUGGAACUCCAUGUGUAGCGGUGGAAUGCGUAGAUAUAUGGAAGAACACCAGUGGCGAAGGCGGCUCUCUGGUCUGCAACUGACGCUAAGGCUCGAAAGCAUGGGUAGCGAACAGGAUUAGAUACCCUGGUAGUCCAUGCCGUAAACGAUGAGCGCUAGGUGUUGGGGACUUUCCGGUUCUCAGUGCCGCAGCAAACGCAUUAAGC
Molecule: ribosomal RNA, 519 nt
Filed under: uncultured bacterium
Lineage: Bacteria
Description: partial 16S ribosomal RNA
Rfam family: Bacterial small subunit ribosomal RNA
Source: RNAcentral